AUGACCAUGUUGGUCUUGGUGACAGUCUCGCAGGCAACCUUGCUGUCGGCAUCCUGCGCCAAGCAGGCAUCCAAGACGGCGUCGGAGACCUGGUCACAGAGCUUGUCGGGAUGGCCCUCAUUCACAGACUCGGACGUGAAGAGGAACGUCUCGGCCGAGGAACCGAAGGAGGGAGGGAAGAGGCGGAAUGUAUGCACGGCGUUGUACCAAGAUCCCGGCUGCGCCUUAUAUAGCGGCGGAGGCCGGUGCGAGGUCGUGCGUGUGGCUGGUGGGAGCGUCGGACUGCACAACCUGUGCUGUGGUCGUUGGUGA
Molecule: ribosomal RNA, 312 nt
Filed under: Triticum aestivum (bread wheat)
Lineage: Eukaryota; Viridiplantae; Streptophyta; Magnoliopsida; Poales; Poaceae
Description: partial small subunit ribosomal RNA
Source: RNAcentral